CAAAGGCUUAGUCCUGACUUUAUUAUCAACUUUAGCUAUACUUACACAUGCAAGUAUCCGCACCCCUGUGAAAAUGCCCCACAGUUCCCUGUUUGGGAACAAGGAGCCGGUAUCAGGCACAACCUUAAAUUAGCCCAAGACGCCUUGCUCAGCCACACCCCCAAGGGAAUUCAGCAGUGAUAGACAUUAAGCCAUGAGUGAAAACUUGACUUAGUUAAAGCUAAGAGGGCCGGUAAAACUCGUGCCAGCCACCGCGGUUAUACGAGAGGCCCAAGCUGAUAAGAAUCGGCGUAAAGAGUGGUUAUGAACAAGCCCCAAACUAAAGCCAAAUGCCCCCAAAGCUGUUAUACGCACUCGGAGGCCAGAAACCCAACCACGAAAGUGGCUUUAUAUUGCGUGAACCCACGAAAGCUAUGAUACAAACUGGGAUUAGAUACCCCACUAUGCUUAGCCCUAAACAUUGAUAAUAUUCUACGACCAUUAUCCGCCCGGGAACUACGAGCACUAGCUUAAAACCCAAAGGACUUGGCGGUGCUUUAGAUCCACCUAGAGGAGCCUGUUCUAGAACCGAUAAUCCCCGUUAAACCUCAGCUCUCCUUGUUU
RNAcentral lists this ribosomal RNA (603 nucleotides) under Bodianus rufus (Spanish hogfish). RNAcentral describes it as "partial 12S ribosomal RNA". It matches the Rfam family "Bacterial small subunit ribosomal RNA", at positions 7 to 986 of the family's 1533-position model. The record is from RNAcentral. Lineage: Eukaryota; Metazoa; Chordata; Actinopteri; Labriformes; Labridae.